AUUGUAAGUUUAAGGCCAUAGCAGAAGCAGUCAUGGUGCAGCCAUGUCAAAUUCCAAUGAAUCUGUGAAUUCUGCU
RNAcentral lists this ribozyme (76 nucleotides) under Crocodylus porosus (Australian saltwater crocodile). Its description in RNAcentral is "Mammalian CPEB3 ribozyme (ENSCPRG00005011521.1)". It matches the Rfam family "Mammalian CPEB3 ribozyme". From Rfam's summary of the family: The mammalian CPEB3 ribozyme is a self cleaving RNA located in the second intron of the CPEB3 gene which belongs to a family of genes regulating messenger RNA polyadenylation. This ribozyme is highly conserved and found only in mammals. There is currently only one other known self cleaving ribozyme in mammals, the CoTC motif. The record is from Rfam by way of RNAcentral. Lineage: Eukaryota; Metazoa; Chordata; Crocodylia; Crocodylidae.